GGAUUAGAUACCCUGGUAGUCCACGCCGUAAACGAUGUCUACUUGGAGGUUGUUCCCUUGAGGAGUGGCUUUCGGAGCUAACGCGUUAAGUAGACCGCCUGGGGAGUACGGUCGCAAGAUUAAAACUCAAAUGAAUUGACGGGGGCCCGCACAAGCGGUGGAGCAUGUGGUUUAAUUCGAUGCAACGCGAAGAACCUUACCUACACUUGACAUGCUGAGAAGUUACUAGAGAUAGUUUCGUGCCUUCGGGAACUCAGACACAGGUGCUGCAUGGCUGUCGUCAGCUCGUGCUG
This 293-nucleotide ribosomal RNA is filed under the name uncultured bacterium. RNAcentral describes it as "partial 16S ribosomal RNA". It matches the Rfam family "Bacterial small subunit ribosomal RNA", at positions 775 to 1067 of the family's 1533-position model. The record is from RNAcentral.